RNAcentral lists this unclassified non-coding RNA (345 nucleotides) under Hevea brasiliensis (rubber tree). Lineage: Eukaryota; Viridiplantae; Streptophyta; Magnoliopsida; Malpighiales; Euphorbiaceae. The record is from RNAcentral.
GAGACAUCAGUGUUAUCGAUAAGUCUCAAUACUUGUUGGAUGGUGUACAUGGUUUCAGUUGGACUUGGUGGUGCUAUAAGCACAAGAGUUUCAAAUGAAUUGGGGGCUGGUCGUCCACAAGGAGCACGAUUAGCUUUACAUGUUGUCGUAAUUGUGGCCAUAUCAGUAGGACUGAUAAUCGCGACCACCACCAUUUUGGUUCGUUUUGUGUGGGGGAAACUAUACAGCAACGAAGAAGAAGUGAUCAAAUACGUUGCCAAGAUUUUGCCUCUGCUUGCUUUAUCUGAUUUCUUGGAUGGCUUCCAAUGUGUGCUUUCAGGGGCUGCUAGAGGAUGUGGAUGGCAA